This 433-nucleotide ribosomal RNA is filed under the name uncultured bacterium. Its description in RNAcentral is "partial 16S ribosomal RNA". It matches the Rfam family "Bacterial small subunit ribosomal RNA", at positions 29 to 507 of the family's 1533-position model. The record is from RNAcentral.
AACGAACGCUGGCGGCAUGCCUAACACAUGCAAGUCGAACGAGACCUUCGGGUCUAGUGGCGCACGGGUGCGUAACGCGUGGGAACCUGCCCUUAGGUUCGGAAUAACUCCCCGAAAGGGGUGCUAAUACCGGAUAAUGUCUUCGGACCAAAGAUUUAUCGCCUUUGGAUGGGCCCGCGUUGGAUUAGCUAGUUGGUAGGGUAAAAGCCUAUCAAGGCGACGAUCCAUAGCUGGUCUGAGAGGAUGAUCAGCCACACUGGGACUGAGACACGGCCCAGACUCCUACGGGAGGCAGCAGUGGGGAAUAUUGGACAAUGGGCGAAAGCCUGAUCCAGCAAUGCCGCGUGAGUGAUGAAGGCCUUAGGGUUGUAAAGCUCUUUUACCCGGGAUGAUAAUGACAGUACCGGGAGAAUAAGCCCCGGCUAACUCCGUG